This 390-nucleotide ribosomal RNA is filed under the name fungal sp. RNAcentral describes it as "SSU rRNA". It matches the Rfam family "Eukaryotic small subunit ribosomal RNA", at positions 827 to 1216 of the family's 1831-position model. Lineage: Eukaryota; Fungi. The record is from RNAcentral.
CGCGCGGUUCUAUUUUGUUGGUCGUGGGACCGCCGUAAUGAUUGAUAGGGACUGUCGGGGGCAUCGGUAUUCGGCUGUCAGAGGUGAAAUUCUUGGAUUUGCCGAAGACCAACCGCUGCGAAAGCAUUUGCCAAGGAUGUUUUCAUUAAUCAGGAACGAAAGUUAGGGGAUCGAAGACGAUCAGAUACCGUCGUAGUCUUAACCGUAAACCGUGCCGACUAGGGAUCGGGCGGUGCUGCUUCAUCUGGCCCGCUCGGCACCUUUCGAGAAAUCAAAGUCUGUGGGUUCCUGGGGGAGUAUGGUGGCAACGCUGAAACUUAAAGAAAUUGACGGAAGGGCACCACCAGGGGUGGAGCCUGCGGCUUAAUUUGACUCAACACGGGGAAACUC